GAUGAACGCUGGCGGCGUGCCUAAUACAUGCAAGUCGAGCGAAAAGGCGCGGAGUUUGCUCCGCUGUCGUUAGCGGCGGACGGGAGAAUAACACGUGGAUAAUCUACCUAUAAGACUGGGAUAACUUCGGGAAACCGGAGCUAAUACCGGAUAAUAUAUUGAACCGCAUGGUGCAAUAGAGAAAGACGGUUUUGCUGUCACUUAUAGCUGGUUCCGCGCUGCAUUAGCUAGUUGGUAAGGUAACGGCUUACCAAGGGAACGAUGCGUAGCCGAGCUGAGAGGGGGGUCGGCCACACGGGAAGUGAGACACGGUCCAGACUCCUACGGGAGGCAGCAGUAGGGAAUAUUCGGCAAUAGUCGAAAGCCUUACGGAGCAACGCCGCGUGAGAGAUGAAGGUCUUCGGUGCGUGAAGCUCUGUUAUUAGGGAAGAACAAAUGUGUAAGUAACUAUGCCCGUAUUGACGGUACCUGAUCAGAAAGCCCCGGCUAACUACGUG
RNAcentral lists this ribosomal RNA (497 nucleotides) under uncultured bacterium. Its description in RNAcentral is "partial 16S ribosomal RNA". It matches the Rfam family "Bacterial small subunit ribosomal RNA", at positions 28 to 507 of the family's 1533-position model. The record is from RNAcentral.